GUAGCUCAGUUGGUUAGAGCGCUACCUUGACAUGGUAGAGGUCGGUGGUUCGAAUCCACUC
This 61-nucleotide transfer RNA is filed under the name Pseudoalteromonas sp. S327. Its description in RNAcentral is "tRNA-Val". It matches the Rfam family "tRNA", at positions 7 to 64 of the family's 71-position model. From Rfam's summary of the family: Transfer RNA (tRNA) molecules are approximately 80 nucleotides in length. Their secondary structure includes four short double-helical elements and three loops (D, anti-codon, and T loops). The record is from RNAcentral. Lineage: Bacteria; Pseudomonadati; Pseudomonadota; Gammaproteobacteria; Alteromonadales; Pseudoalteromonadaceae.